Molecule: ribosomal RNA, 1443 nt
Filed under: Triticum aestivum (bread wheat)
Lineage: Eukaryota; Viridiplantae; Streptophyta; Magnoliopsida; Poales; Poaceae
Description: partial small subunit ribosomal RNA
Source: RNAcentral
AUGCCGUCCCCGUCCUCCUCCUCCUCCCCCCACCGGAAGCUCCUCCACUCCUUGAUUUGCUGGGCGGUGCAGCGGUGCCGGAUGUCGGAGUCGCCGUGCCGGCUCGCGGUCUCCCUCAAGGGACCCUCGGACCCCGCCGCGUCCUCGGCCCUGCGCGUCUCCGUUUCGGACACUGGAGUCGGGAGCAAGCUGGAGGAGUUCCUGGAGCUGGAUGCCCUGGCGCGUGAGACCCCGCUGGAGAAAUGGGAUGGUACCCUCUUAAUCACAACUACUGGAAUCAAUGACAAAGCUAUUUAUCAUUACCGAUUUAAUCUUCAUGAGAACGCAUCUUCAAGUACAAGAUGCAGCAAGAUGUCUACCACAUACAAGAAUAAUGCAAAAUUCAGUGGAACUGAAGUAUGCCUUUGCGUUUCAAAUGGCGCUGAUAUUGAUGACUUCGUAUUAUGGCUGGUUGGUUUUGCACGCAAGAUACACGUGCUAAGAGCAGCUAACUUAGCAAUUGAGCUCGCCAUUGAGCAAACAAUAAGUGCUGGAUCAAGAAAUGUUUGUCUGCCAAAUGAAUCUGAUGAUACCCAUCUUUCUAUUGCCACAUCAAGUAUUGAGCGGCUAGUUUCUGGUCUUGAAGAUUAUGCACUCUCACAUGGGAACACAUGUGACAAGUGUGAUGCAUGUUGUAUGAAUAGAGAUCGUCUGAAGGUUGGAACUGGAUCUGCCAAGAACUCAGACAGAAGAAGAGAUAAAGGGCUACUUGUUGAAAUUGCCAUAAUGGUUGCGCACACUGCAUCUGAUUUGAGUUGUUGGAUGGUUAAUUGCUCAUCUAGUCAGGUUUUGCAUUUUCAAGACUUUGUACCCUGCCCCAUUUCACAGUCAUCCUUCAAUGUGCUCAUGAGUAUGGAUUGGCAAAGCUUCGGUUUCAAGUUAAAAGGAGGUUUCAUGGAUGACGAAGGAAAUGCUGUGCUUGAGUGGGAUAACCUGACAUUUGCUCGUGUUGAUAUUGCCAUUCACACUUACCAUGGAAUAGUACAAGAAUGGCAGAGAUCUGAACCAGAUAAAUAUGUUGUGAGGAAGGCACUUAAGCUUGCAUUGCAUAACCUGAAAGCAGAUCAUGCAGGAGAGUUUAUCAGUUGUCAUGGAAAGAAGAUUCUUGAAUACGUCCCCGACCUCGCUCAGUCGAUCGCUGGCCUGAUCUCGUCGUCCAAUGACCGAGAGUUCCGAGAUGAAUGCGCCGCGCUCCUCGGGCUGGGCUCCGGUCAAGACAUCUCGGAAGGGGCGGUCAGGUCCUGCAUCGGCGACAAGAUGGCCCGCAUCAUAGAGAUGGGCGACGGCAAGGAGAAGGCCGAGGACAGCGCGCCGCCGUACCUGUUCGAGUGCGAGAAGCUGGAUGAAGACAGCCCGCUGCUCGACGAAGAGGAUGGAGACGAGGACAUGAUUUUUGAUUUCUAG